UGUCGCGAUCGAGUACGAAAUAACGCUGCACACAAGUGCGAAACGGCGCCCAAAUAUCGCUAUUGUCCGAAAACCUAUUGGAGCCCACAGGGAGCGACCAUGUUUAGCCUCCACGUCUUCGCCCAAACGACACCUCCAGCACAUCGUACCACGGGCCCCGUUACCAUGGAACGCAGAAGUAGAAUUCCUUUCGAGAGUUUCGAAGAUUCGAUCACGACCGCCUCGCAAUGGGUGUCGAGAAAGAUGGGAAGGAGGGGAGAUCGCUUCGAUCGAUGGUAAUACUGUGAUCUUUCGAUAGCACGGAAAGGGAGGAGAUGGAGGAUAGAGAGGCGGAGGUUCCACCUCUCAAGUUUGGCAUGGUGGCGGAGGAAAUCUACCGCUCGGGAUUCCCCACAGCCACCGAUUUCGGCUCCUUGGAAGAACUGAUUAUCCGAACCAGGUUCUUGUGCCUGGAGCCUCACCCGGAGAAUAUAAUUCGCUUCCCUGGAUUCGUCUGUUCCUGUUCGGAAUCGAAGGUAGCAAUGUAAGCAUUUUCUUUGUGCUUCUAAUGUAAUUAUGUCUAGAAAUCGUUCCCUUGUCAAUUUGAUCUGGAAAUUCUUUUGAAUGUUUGUGGUUGAUGCACCUUUUUCACUUUCUUUCUUAAAUUUCUGGAUUUUUAUAUAAACGCAUAUCAAUUUUCAA
Molecule: long non-coding RNA, 681 nt
Organism: Musa acuminata AAA Group (dessert banana)
Lineage: Eukaryota; Viridiplantae; Streptophyta; Magnoliopsida; Zingiberales; Musaceae
Exons: 2
Source: RefSeq, a predicted model, not a curated record